Vidua macroura (Pin-tailed whydah) is the source of this 5121-nucleotide long non-coding RNA. RefSeq lists it as uncharacterized. NCBI's taxonomy places the organism in Eukaryota, Metazoa, Chordata, Aves, Passeriformes, Viduidae. The record is from RefSeq and is a predicted model, not a curated record. The transcript has 2 exons.
AGCGCCCGCGAGCGCCCCGCGGCCCACGGGAACGGGGCAGCGGCUCCAGCUGCGGCGGCCAGCACAGCGUCAGCCCCGCUCCCGGAGCGCGGCGGCAGCGGGCAGCGCUGCCCGUCCGCCCCGGCCCCGCCGCGAGAGGCUCGGCAGUGAACGAGCGGCGCCAACCCGAGAGGAUGCUGUUUAGUUGCUUUUCCAAGCAGUCCUUUCCUGUCAGAAACAAGCCCGCACGAGGUACUUGGGAGGAGGAAAACCCAGCAACCACAUCUCCUCCUGGGUCAGUCCAUCACGCAUCAAUCCACCAAGGCAGAGACAGGGAAAGUGGCAUCUCCAGAACGAUGCACCCUACCAAUCCACCCUGACCAUGGGAGCACUGGAGACUUUCACCUAGAGCCCAGCAUGCAAUCCCACUGAGCCACCGGAGGAAGGCUAAAGUUGAAGCAGAUAAGAACAAGCCCACACUAACUUCUUGUGAGUAGAAGAACAGUAAUUUCCCCACACAAAAUCAGUAAAUCACAGGGAGGGCAGGAGAUGUGCCCCACACUGCCCAGAGACAGCCAGGCCUGGAGGUUCCUGCCUGCCUGACCCCCAGAUGCUCCGUGCUAUGGAAACUCAGAUAGAACCCAGCUUUGGCACAUUCUCCAGUAAAGAGCCCGAAUGUUCAGAUUAGACUGGACUCUCCCAGUCCAGUCAGUGUAAAAAGGGAAGCAGCACAGGCUGGAGGACAAGAUUUUAAGGAUAAGCAUGAAUCCCUUUCAUUCUUUCUGUCAGAGGCUGACAUGGGCAAAAUAACGAGCUCUCACCCCUGCUAUGUGAGCACUACAAGGUGAGAAUUGAUUUUCAAGCCACAUGGAUCAGCUCAUCACACACACUAGAAGAGUACCUGGCAGCAAUGCAGGAUUUCUGCACCCCUUCCUUCCUCACUGUGCAAUCUGUUUACACAUUUCCUGGUUCAGCAACCACAUCUCAUCAUGCACCAGUCCAUCACAUAUCAAUCCACCAAGUCAGCAACAGGGAAAGUGGCAUCUCCAGAGCAAUGCAUCCUCCCAUGUCCUUCCUAACCAUGGGAGUGACAAAGCGUUUCACCUACAACUGGGAAUGCCAACCGAGCUUUGAGCUAGAGGAGGAAAGAUGAAGUUAGAGCUGCUGCUGCCCCUGCCUCGCUGUCUGCCCUCCACUGGCCCACUGAGACCGGAACAAGCAGAAGAGGCACAGAUCUCCCUUCCACUACCUCUACUUGUACCAGGUCUGUUCUGGAAUUUGCACCGGGCUCUGUGCCAAAGGGGCACAGAGCAGAAGAAACCCACGGGCAAACACCACCCAUGCAGGGAAAUCAUCAGCUCCACUCUUUGGCCAAAGAUCACCUGAGCCUCCACAGCCUCUCUCAGGGCAUGAAUGGCACGGCUCCCUCACCUGAUUAACCAGGUGGAAGGACACCAGGCUCCCAGCCCUCCCACCAGCCCACGGAGAUGAGGGGGUGGAGGACCACACAAGCAGGCUUCAAGGAAAAGCACUUCAGUCAGCUGUCAGCCACACUGCACUUUGGCAUUUGCAGGUGUUUUGGAAGAAACUAAUUGAAUUCUCAUUAAACCACUCCAAACAUUUGUCCUAAGAGAACAUCCUCACUUAUUUGUUUAUGGAGGAUGCUUUGUACUGUGAGUCGCUGCGUUUAGAUUAGCAUUCAGUGCCACUUUCCACCCCACUCCAUUUCUGUAUUAGACAGAGCUGUCAGCAUCUCACCUUCAGUGAAAAGAACAUCAAUAUUCCCUGGCAGCAGGCAGGGGAGGCUCUAUGCAAAGCCACAGUUUUACCAGGUUAACAAAUGUGCAGACUUGCAAACCUGGAAACUUGUUCUUGGCCAACUAGAUGGCUUAGCCCAACUACCUCCCUCCUUCAAUGCAGCUGCUGCCAGAACAGAAGGAGAACAGGUCCUCUUCUGACCAGAAUAUGUUCUACAUGGCUAUACUGAUGGGAACAGCCCCUGAACUGCACAGACCCUCCCCAUGGGCUAGCAAAACCUUUCUUAAAGUAUAUUUUCAAGCAACUCUUCUUCUCCUGGGCCUCAAGCAACUUCCCCUCCAUGGGAUAAACAGCUUCUUCCUCAGCUUGAUUACAGCAAUCCUAAAAUUGGAACUGAGGAACUAACAGGAAGAAAGAGCUGGGAUCUUAUUGAGAUCAACUCUAUUUCUGUCAUGUUGACUGAAAUAGGCAGUUGACCUUGUUCUACUUAUGACUACCUCAGUGCAAGCCACAGUUUGCUUUAUCACCAGCAUGGGGCAAGCAGGUACAGCAGAGAGUUCUCAGCACUCUCUGCCUGUCUCACAAAUCCCAUUCCUCCCAUUACAGCCAAGUGACCAGCAGUCACCCCCAUGCAACCAAAGCCAGGCAACAGGGAGAGUGGAGUUCAUGUUAAUGGGCUCCAGAAUUUCAACUCAUUAGUGAAUGAGCAAAGUGCUCUGGGUCACAGGAUGAGGUUUCCUCCCUCCUCCUCCACUUCCCUGAGGCAGUGAGCAAUAUUUACGUUCACCAUUUUCCUCAUGCUGGUGUGACAAACCAGUUUAACUGCAGAGGGUGCUUCCCUUGCCAGUCAAUUGUACCAAAGGCUAGUAAGGCCCACUGGAGUUUACACAGCUUUCAUUAAAGAAAUUUUCCCUUUGAAAAGGAUGAGAUUUUAAUUAAAACCAUCUCCUGCCUUCAAAGAGCCUCCCUCGAACCAGAAAACCACUCCUCACUUCCUUCUGCUCUUACAGCUGCCAGCUGAGUCCCACAACAUGCCUGGGAUCUCCCUUAAUUUUGGCCCAACAGGUGUGAUGCUGGGGGCUGCCAAGAUGUGCCAGAGUGGGUACAGGAGGCCAAGCUCCUGCUAAUCCCUGCAGGUGGGGUGAUGCAAUGUGCACAUGCAGUUCACAUGUUGCUGCUGCAAAGUUCUUUCAUUGGUAGGUCACCACCACUUUUAUCUUAGUGUGAUGCUCUGGCCUUGCUGAGCCUCUAAAAAUGUUGUUGUUCCAAGGGAAACAGCAUGUUCUCUCACUAUGGUUUAGGUGUCCCCUCUUCCUUUGUGAGGUCAAUGUGUACCAAAGCCACCAGGAGAUGAGGGAAGAACACUGAUGGUGGGAGAGGGUAAGAGAAGGUUACAGAUCAAUUUGGCUCUUGCAGAUGAGCCUGUCUCUGUCAUGCAUGCUUGUGACCAAACUUUAAGCAGGCAGACUACACUUCUACCACAUAAAUUAGUGACAGCAGUGGAACAAUAUAAUCAAUGGUUGCAAUUGUUAAACAUUUUAUGGCAAAUCCUGCUUGGUUUACUCAUGAGAUUGAGGGACUUCCUAAGGGACUUCUACCCCUCUGGGAAGAAGGAAAGUGACAUAAUGUAAUCAAGGCAGAAGAGGAAGCUGGCUUGCUUGUGCCCCCUUUUGAGAGCACAGCAAGCAGUACUUGGCCAUAAAUACAGAUCUUGUGCAAAAUGUUUUUUCUCACUUAGCAGGGAGAUUACCCAGCUCGGGUUAUGCUGACUGUUCCUAAUAGGAAUUUGCAGUGCCCUUUUCUUAUAUAGCAAGGACUAAAUAUAUACUCAAGUUUCUUUAGGUUUAAUGUUAAUGUCCCAGGCAUUUCUCAUGACUUCUGUUUUCCCACGCUGACGAUCCUGCAGCUGAUGGAUUGUGAAACCACGGUGCAGGGACUCACACAAGAGAUGUCAGCAGUGGAGAUUACACAUUAUGGGCUUGCUUCCCCAACCCACUGAGGAUUAGCACCACACCUACCAUCUACUUAGAUACCUCCUUGAGAGGUUAAUGCAUUGCUUGGUCCAAUAAUCAUUCUUCCCCCUGUUACUUGCUGAAAGCAAUUUGGCAUGCAGCCACCACCUGACCAGUCCUUUUUCUUGGUCCAAGCCAAUUCUUGUAGUUCUCCUGACCUCUAAUGAGCUCCUUCAGUCUUUGUAAGUAUCCUGCUCUCACCAGGCAGCCACAUGUUGCUCCUGAGUUGACGGUAAAAUACCUGCCAGCACCAGUAGCCCUGGCUCCAGAUCCCAGAAGAAGCAUUUUGCCCUGCAGCAGGUACAAUGUAUUGGAAAGACAUCUCCUAGAGAGGUGUUCACGUCCCAUCUUUGGGUUACACAGCUCUGCUCUGCCCAUGGGAGUCUCUCAGUGGAGCACUGCUGCAGCUCCACUUUCAGUGGCUGCUGGUGGGGUUGGUCAGCUCAGCCCUUGUUUCUAUGUUCAGCAGCAAACUGCAGAUGUCAGGAGCUGGAUGGGCAAGCUUUAAUUACAGCCUCUUCCCUGCUUAAAGCAGCGCCUCCACCAAUGCAUGCCAUAUUCAGGCAGCUGUGGGAUGGGCUGUCACUACCCUAAGGAUCAUCACCCUGCAAUAUUGCUCCAUCACCUCACCAAGGUGCCCUUUUGCAGGUGAUCUCUAGCUCAUGGCUCAUCCUUUGAGAUCUUACUGGAAUGAGUCACUACAGAUGAAAACAGUGGUGGUGCCAAUCCUCCAUGGCUGAGGCAGCAAUGCCCACACCACCCUCAUGAUGACAACCACACCGACCCCAGGAUUGCCUCCUUCCUCAUCACUGAAAGGCAGUUUUGCAUGAGGUCAUAGCAAUGGAUCUUGUCCAUCCUGAGAGCAUUGUCAGCAUGCUGACCAGUCCUCUGUGCUGCCUGCCUGAAACAAGGGAAAGAGGACCUGGCACUCUGCAAUCCAGUCAGAGAGUGCCAUACUCCAGAAGUGGCCCUGCAGGCUACAAAGUGACCACCUGAGAGAUAAGAUCCUGUCCAAAGUGGGGGAUCAUUGGUAGCUCAGAGAUCCCAGGUGACUUAAACCCAGACUGUUUAGGACAUAAAAGGAUGAGAAGCAAUCCCAGAAAGAAGAAUACAGGGCAGCCCCAAGACCAAACCAUUAAGUGCAUGCCAGGACACCCAUCAGAAUUUCAGUUCUAUGUGAAUCAACAGCAACACACUAAGAUGAGCUGAUAGCAUAAACAAUGCCUGGUGGUUUUCAUCUUUGUGUUCAAAUUCUGCUCUUCCUCCUAAAACGCUGAUAAUUUUGCUCAAAGAACACUGCUUCCUUUCCUUCUUCUCCAAAAUAAGGCAAUUAAUUACAGAGAUAUAAUAAUAAAGGUACAGAAAACUUGCA